AUGGAUCCAAACAAAAUGCUGACUCCUUUGACUUCUCCGUCUAACUCUUUCUCUUCACUUGAACCUAGAACUAUCUUCAUCUCUUCUUCUAUGCAUCCUACGUCUUCACACACAUCUAUAACUUCCCUUAUGUCUCCCCAAGACCUUUCCCCUGCCUCUUCUUCUAUAACUAUCCCCAUAUAUAAGCCUGUUACUAAACUCCCUCCAACUGCCUCUAAAUCUGCACCUGUAUUCCCAACUACAGAAACACCUGUACCAACUGCUAAAUAUUCAUAUCACUGCAACUUGAUCUCUAAAAAUUCAUAUCACUCCAACUUGACACCUAUCUCAGAAUAUCCCCCUGUCUGUGCAGCCACUGUACCUAUACCUACAGGUAUAUCGACAUUUACUUGUGUACCUACCCGUAGGUAUCCCUCUAACUGUAACUCUACCUAUACCAUGUCAUCUGCACCUACCCCAAAACCUACUCCUCUUUGUACAUCCCCUACAUUGACAACUCCACUUACACCUGAAACUCCAGUUAGCCCCAAAUCGACUCCACCUAUAUCUCCAAUUCCAUCUAAUUCUGCACUUCUUAAUAAGGAUCACUCUAAUUUGAUCUGUAGCUCUACCUCAGCAUCUACACUCUCUCCCAAAUUGGAUCCUAUCUCUAUACCCUUGACAACUACACAUAAAUCCACCUGUCCACUUUUCCCUGGGAUUCCCUUUAAUUGUACCUGUGCUGCUACCUCGACAUCUUCACUCUUGCCCAAAUCUAAUCCACCUACAUCUAGGUCUACAUCUACCAGUGUAUUAUCUCCUGGGAAUUCCUCUAACUGUAUCAGUAGCUCUACCUCGACCUCUACACUUAGUCCCAAAUUGAAUCCAACUAUAUCCAGAGCUACCUCUUGUGUCUUAUUCCCUGGCUAUUCCUCUAAUUGUAUCUGUAACUCCACCUCAACCUCUACCCUUAGCCCCAAAUCUCCUCCUACACCCAAAUCUACAUCUAUCUCUGCCUUACUCCCUAAUUAUCCCUCUAACUGUAUCUGUAACUCCACCUCAACCUCCACACUUAGCCCCGAAUCUCCUCCUAUAUCCAAAGGUACAUUUACCUGUGCCUUACUCAAGGAUUAUCCCUCUAACUGUAUCUGUAACUCCACCUCGACAUCAUCCCUUAGUCCCAAGUCUCCUCCUACAUCCAAAGCUACAUCUACCUGUGCCUUACUUUCUGGUUAUCCCUCUAAUUGUGUCUGUAACUCUACUUCAACCUCAACUCUUAGCCCCAAAUCUCCUCCUACAUCCAAAUCUACAUCUACCUGUGCCUUACUCAAGGAUUAUCCCUCUAACUGUAACUGUAACUCUACCUCGACCUCUACUCUUAGCUCCAAAUCUCCUCCUAUAUCCAAAGCUAUGUCUAUCUGUGCUUUACUCCCUGAUUAUCCUCCUAAUUGUGUCUGUAACUCUACCUCAACAUCAUCCUUUAGUCCUAAAUCCCCCUCUAAUAUCCACAGGUACAUCUACCUGUGCAUUAUCCCUUGGGAAUUCCUCUAA
This 1530-nucleotide long non-coding RNA is filed under the name Phascolarctos cinereus (koala). Its description in RNAcentral is "lncRNA (ENSPCIG00000004474.2)". The record is from RNAcentral. Lineage: Eukaryota; Metazoa; Chordata; Mammalia; Diprotodontia; Phascolarctidae.